GAUGAACGCUGGCGGCGUGCCUAAUACAUGCAAGUCGAGCGAACGGACGAGAAGCUUGCUUCUCUGAUGUUAGCGGCGGACGGGUGAGUAACACGUGGAUAACCUACCUAUAAGACUGGGAUAACUUCGGGAAACCGGAGCUAAUACCGGAUAAUAUUUUGAACCGCAUGGUUCAAAAGUGAAAGACGGUCUUGCUGUCACUUAUAGAUGGAUCCGCGCUGCAUUAGCUAGUUGGUAAGGUAACGGCUUACCAAGGCAACGAUGCAUAGCCGACCUGAGAGGGUGGUCGGCCACACUGGAACUGAGACACGGUCCAGACUCCGACGGGAGGCAGCAGUAGGGAAUCUUCCGCAAUGGGCGAAAGCCUGACGGAGCAACGCCGCGUGAGUGAUGAAGGUCUUCGGAUCGUAAAACUCUGUUAUUAGGGAAGAACAUAUGUGUAAGUAACUGUGCACAUCUUGACGGUACCUAAUCAGAAAGCCACGGCUAACUACGUG
Molecule: ribosomal RNA, 497 nt
Filed under: uncultured bacterium
Lineage: Bacteria
Description: partial 16S ribosomal RNA
Rfam family: Bacterial small subunit ribosomal RNA
Source: RNAcentral